CCCUUAGACGUUCUGUGCCGCACGCGCGCUACACUGACCAGUGCAACAAGCAUCCGUCCUUGGCCGACAGGCUCGGGCAAUCUUUGAACGCUGGUCGUGAUGGGGAUAGACUUUUGCAAUUUUUGGUCUUCAACGAGGAAUUCCUAGUAAACGCAAGUCAUCAACUUGCAUUGAUUACGUCCCUGCCCUUUGUACACACCGCCCGUCGCACCUACCGAUUGAAUGGUCCGGUGAAGCCUCCGGAUUGGCGCGCACCUCGGUGCCGCCGAGAAGUUGGCUAAACCUUACCAUUUAGAGGAAGGUGAAGUCGUAACA
This 315-nucleotide ribosomal RNA is filed under the name uncultured eukaryote. Its description in RNAcentral is "partial 18S ribosomal RNA". It matches the Rfam family "Eukaryotic small subunit ribosomal RNA", at positions 1470 to 1796 of the family's 1831-position model. The record is from RNAcentral.